Molecule: ribosomal RNA, 490 nt
Filed under: uncultured bacterium
Lineage: Bacteria
Description: partial 16S ribosomal RNA
Rfam family: Bacterial small subunit ribosomal RNA
Source: RNAcentral
AUUGAACGCUGGCGGCAGGCUUAACACAUGCAAGUCGAGCGGUAGCACAGGGGAGCUUGCUCCCUGGGUGACGAGCGGCGGACGGGUGAGUAAUGUCUGGGAAACUGCCUGAUGGAGGGGGAUAACUACUGGAAACGGUAGCUAAUACCGCAUAACGUCGCAAGACCAAAGAGGGGGACCUUCGGGCCUCUUGCCAUCAGAUGUGCCCAGAUGGGAUUAGCUAGUAGGUGGGGUAAUGGCUCACCUAGGCGACGAUCCCUAGCUGGUCUGAGAGGAUGACCAGCCACACUGGAACUGAGACACGGUCCAGACUCCUACGGGAGGCAGCAGUGGGGAGUAUUGCACAAUGGGCGCAAGCCUGAUGCAGCCAUGCCGCGUGUGUGAAGAAGGCCUUCGGGUUGUAAAGCACUUUCAGCGAGGAGGAAGGUGGUGAGCUUAAUACGUUCAUCAAUUGACGUUACUCGCAGAAGAAGCACCGGCUAACUCCGUG